CGGGACGGGUGAGUAACGCGUGGGUAACCUGCCUUAUACAGGGGGAUAACAGUCAGAAAUGGCUGCUAAUACCGCAUAAGCGCACAGAGCUGCAUGGCUCAGUGUGAAAAACUCCGGUGGUAUAAGAUGGACCCGCGUUGGAUUAGCUUGUUGGCGGGGUAACGGCCCACCAAGGCGACGAUCCAUAGCCGGCCUGAGAGGGUGAACGGCCACAUUGGGACUGAGACACGGCCCAGACUCCUACGGGAGGCAGCAUG
This 257-nucleotide ribosomal RNA is filed under the name uncultured bacterium. Its description in RNAcentral is "partial 16S ribosomal RNA". It matches the Rfam family "Bacterial small subunit ribosomal RNA", at positions 98 to 353 of the family's 1533-position model. The record is from RNAcentral.